AAUAUCCUGAGAUGUGCGUGAUGCCUUAGUUUUGAACCUGCUAUAUGUGACACGGGAGCCCGAUUGUUUGUGCACGUAGCACAGGCCACAAGAUAAUUCCGACAAACAGCUCAAGCUGUUUGCAACGGCGGUGGAAAUGUGAAAUGCGCAAUAGGGCACCCACCUGGCGAGUGCCAGGUGUCAAAAUAGGUAAACGGCAUCUUGGGGCAAAG
This 212-nucleotide non-coding RNA is filed under the name Clostridiaceae bacterium. RNAcentral's name for it is "6S RNA". It matches the Rfam family "6S / SsrS RNA". Rfam says of the family: E. coli 6S RNA was the first non coding RNA to be sequenced, but its function was unknown until recently. It consists of 184 nucleotides that fold into an extended hairpin structure with a large single-stranded internal bulge. Lineage: Bacteria; Bacillati; Bacillota; Clostridia; Eubacteriales; Clostridiaceae. The record is from RNAcentral.